UUUUUGUUAACCAAAAUUUUAUAUUCCCUUGCGUUUUUAAUUUCUCUGUUGCAUUUUUAAUUAUACUAUUUUGCAUUUAUUAGUGUUUGCUCCAGAAAUUUCAAUAUGUAUUAUUAAUUUAUGAUUGUCUAUUAUGGUUACUAUUGUACUACUUCCUAUAAAGUGUAAAAUCUUACAUAAGUAAAAUUCUGUUUACUUCUCUUGUCUUUUGUACAAUUAUUAUCAUAUAUAUUACAACUACAUGUGUAAUAAAACUCACAUUACAAUGUUAUUGCUUUUUAUUUAAAUAGUGAGUUGAGGCAUGCCUGGCUGGCUCAGUUGGCAGAGCACAUAAAUGUUGAUCUAAGGGUUAUAAGUUCAAGCCCCACUUUGGGUGAAGAGAUGACUUAAAAAUAAAAUAAAAUAAAUAGUGAAUGGAGUUUUUAAAAAAUAAAAUUAAGAAAAACUUACCUGCUAAUAGCCUACUAUUGAUCGGAAGCCUUGCCAAUAACAUGAAUGAUCCAUUAACACAUAUUUUGUAUGUUAAAUGUAUUAUAUACUGUAUUCUUACAAAAAGUAAGCUAGAGAAAAUAAAAUGUUAUUAAGAAAAUCACAAAAAAGAUAAUGUUACAUAAUCAUUAAUAAUAACUAUUUGUGGAGCUAGUCUUAUUUCUAAGUUUCCAUCUCAUUUCCUUGUAGAACUUCUUUUGUUAUUUCUUAUAGUGUAGGUUUGCUGGAAACACAUAUGCACAGCUAUUAUUUAUCUUUGUUUCAUCUUCAUUUUUAAGAAUAUCUGAUGGAUAUAGAAUACUGGUUUGACAGGGUACUAGAUUCCCAAUAUGAUCAUUCCUUGUGAAUAUAUUUUUAUGUUUUAGAAGAAACCCAAAAGAGUUGAUCUAAUGUCCUUGUCUGUUAUUUCCAAUAUCUGAGACACCUUGGGUUUUGUUUCUAUUGACUAUCUUUUUUCUUCUUAAUUAUGAGCCACAUUUUUUCUACUUCUUUGUGUGUCUAAUCAUUUUUUAAUUAUGUCAGAGAUUAUAGAUGAUACAUUUUAGAGAGUGCUUUAAGAAAUACUAAGUUUUGUUCUGGCUGGCAGUUAUUUAUAGGGUACUGUUCUGUUCUCUUUUUUUGUUAGUUUUAUUCUUUGUUUAGGUGAAUUUUUUCACCUAAAUUAUAAACUUAGUCCAGAGCCUAGCUCUUAUUCUAAAGUGUGAUCCUUAAUUCUAGCCUUGGCUUUUUUGGGAUCACAAUUGAAUGGCCAAGGUACUUGGCAACGUGUUUCCACUUUGGCCUGUCCAAAACACCAACAUCACUCAGUACAGGUCUGGCAUCUCUGUUCAGGUUUCAUUCCCAUAACAGGUAAUUUCUCUUAGGUUUUAUAGAGUUGUUUUCUGUGAUUUGUGGCGAAGGUCUUGGCCAAAGGCUCCCGGUUAGUUCAUUCACAAAUUUUUGGACCACCAUCCUCUGCAUUACACCCUCUUCUAAGGUAUGCUAACAUACAAAUGCCAGCCACUUUCUGCCAGUUAGAAAUCCCAUCUUUGCCUCCUGAGCUCAACAAAACCACUGUGCUCUGCUUGGAUUCCAUCUCCCCUUGUCUGGGUCCCAAAAGUUCUCUCAGGCAGAAAGCAAAAGGAAGUGCAGGGCUUGUUUUUUUUUUUUUUUCUUUCCAUUUUGAAACCAGUCCUAUACUGCCUGCUAUCCAACAUCUAAUAACAGUUGUCUGAUAAUUUUAUAGUUGUUUAUGAUAGCAGUACUCCUUCAUGACUUGAAGAGGAUAGCUUUUAUACUCAUAACAUUUAAAAGUAAAUAUCUAGUAUUCCACAGUUUAAAGCUAAGCAUUGUAUUAGCCUUCCUCCAACACAAUACAGGGAACUUAGAACACUUUAAAUGUGAUUGUAGACAUUUAAGUAUUGUAUGCUAUUAUUAUUAGAACUUUCAUUUCUUUCUUGCUUUUUGCUCUUGAAUAUAUGCAUCAUUAUUGUUAUCUAUUACUUUUACUAUUAUUGUUUUAAUCAGUAGGUAUUUGUCUAUAUUUCUUCCACGUUUCCUGUGUAUUUUAACCAUGCCAUUUCUUUUUACAUCUCAGGCUCUGGUUAUUUUAAUUUUUCAGAAACAUUGUCCUGUAAUGUUACCACACUUAAGAUCUAAUGAUUUUUAAAUAAUUCAAGCUUUGUUUUCUAAAUGUGCUUUAUUUUGCUCCACUUUUAAGAUAAACUUUUUGUUGAAGGAAUACAAAGGAAAGAACAACACAACUCUUAAAAAUACCACUCAAUGAAUUCACAAAAUUAAAACACCUUGUAAUUAAUGCCUAGACCAAGACACAAAACAUUAGCUACAAAAGCAGGAAAGUCCUGUUCAGUCACUAGCCCUCCUCACAAAGUAGUGAUUAGACUGACUUCUAAUACUAGAGGGUGAGUUUGAAUGUUUUUAUAUUCAUAUCAAUUGAAUCUUACAACAUGUAUUCUUUUGGUUCUGGUUUUUUUCAC
Molecule: long non-coding RNA, 2465 nt
Filed under: Canis lupus familiaris (dog)
Lineage: Eukaryota; Metazoa; Chordata; Mammalia; Carnivora; Canidae
Description: lncRNA (ENSCAFG00000051387.1)
Source: RNAcentral